AGUUGGAAACGGCUGCUAAUACCGCAUAAGCGCACGAGAGGACAUCCUCUUGUGUGAAAAACUCCGGUGGUACAGGAUGGGCCCGCGUCUGAUUAGCUGGUUGGCAGGGUAACGGCCUACCAAGGCGACGAUCAGUAGCCGGUCUGAGAGGAUGAACGGCCACAUUGGAACUGAGACACGGUCCAAACUCCUACGGGAGGCAGCAGUGGGGAAUAUUGCACAAUGGGGGAAACCCUGAUGCAGCAACGCCGCGUGAGUGAAGAAGUAUUUCGGUAUGUAAAGCUCUAUCAGCAGGGAAGAUAAUGACGGUACCUGACUAAGAAGCUCCGGCUAAAUACGUGCCAGCAGCCGCGGUAAUACGUAUGGAGCAAGCGUUAUCCGGAUUUACUGGGUGUAAAGGGUGCGUAGGUGGCAGUGCAAGUCAGAUGUGAAAGGCCGGGGCUCAACCCCGGAGCUGCAUUUGAAACUGCAUAGCUAGAGUACAGGAGAGGCAGGCGGAAUUCCUAGUGUAGCGGUGAAAUGCGUAGAUAUUAGGAGG
RNAcentral lists this ribosomal RNA (538 nucleotides) under uncultured Lachnospiraceae bacterium. Its description in RNAcentral is "bacterial SSU rRNA". It matches the Rfam family "Bacterial small subunit ribosomal RNA", at positions 148 to 704 of the family's 1533-position model. Lineage: Bacteria; Bacillati; Bacillota; Clostridia; Lachnospirales; Lachnospiraceae. The record is from RNAcentral.